GGCUUCGGCCUGGGGCAGAGCCGCGAACGGGUGAGUAACACGUGGGUAACGUGCCCCAAUGAUCGGGACAACCCGGGGAAACCCGGGCUAAUACCGAAUGUGCUCCCCUCACAUCAGUGAGGGGUGAAAAGGAAGCUUCGGCCUCCGCAUUGGGAUCGGCCCGCGGCCCAUUAGCUUGUUGGUGAGGUAACGGCUCACCAAGGCUGCGAUGGGUAGCUGGUCUGAGAGGACGAUCAGCCACACUGGGACUGAGACACGGCCCAGACUCCUACGGGAGGCAGCAGUGGGGAAUCUUGCGCAAUGCGCGAAAGCGUGACGCAGCAACGCCGCGUGGGGGAAGACGGCCUUCGGGUUGUAAACCCCUUUCAGGAGGGACGAAGCCCGGGCGGUUAAUAGCCGACUCGGGUGACGGUACCUCCAGAAGAAGCCCCGGCUAACUACGUGCCAGCAGCCGCGGUAAUACGUAGGGGGCAAGCGUUGUCCGGAAUCAUUGGGCGUAAAGAGCGUGUAGGCGGUCCGGUAAGUCGGCUGUGAAAGUCCAGGGCUCAACCCUGGGAUGCCGGUCGAUACUGCCGGACUAGAGUUCGGAAGAGGCGAGUGGAAUUCCCGGUGUAGCGGUGAAAUGCGCAGAUAUCGGGAGGAACACCAAUGGCGAAGGCAGCUCGCUGGGACGUUACUGACGCUGAGACGCGAAAGCGUGGGGAGCAAAC
RNAcentral lists this ribosomal RNA (710 nucleotides) under uncultured Actinomycetes bacterium. Its description in RNAcentral is "bacterial SSU rRNA". It matches the Rfam family "Bacterial small subunit ribosomal RNA", at positions 76 to 773 of the family's 1533-position model. Lineage: Bacteria; Bacillati; Actinomycetota; Actinomycetes. The record is from RNAcentral.